Molecule: ribosomal RNA, 1013 nt
Filed under: Limosilactobacillus fermentum
Lineage: Bacteria; Bacillati; Bacillota; Bacilli; Lactobacillales; Lactobacillaceae
Description: bacterial SSU rRNA
Rfam family: Bacterial small subunit ribosomal RNA
Source: RNAcentral
GUUGUUAAAGAAGAACCCGUAUGAGAGUAACUGUUCAUACGUUGACGGUAUUUAACCAGAAAGUCACGGCUAAUUACGUGCCAGCAGCCGCGGUAAUACGUAGGUGGCAAGCGUUAUCCGGAUUUAUUGGGCGUAAAGAGAGUGCAGGCGGUUUUCUAAGUCUGAUGUGAAAGCCUUCGGCUUAACCGGAGAAGUGCAUCGGAAACUGGAUAACUUGAGUGCAGAAGAGGGUAGUGGAACUCCAUGUGUAGCGGUGGAAUGCGUAGAUAUAUGGAAGAACACCAGUGGCGAAGGCGGCUACCUGGUCUGCAACUGACGCUGAGACUCGAAAGCAUGGGUAGCGAACAGGAUUAGAUACCCUGGUAGUCCAUGCCGUAAACGAUGAGUGCUAGGUGUUGGAGGGUUUCCGCCCUUCAGUGCCGGAGCUAACGCAUUAAGCACUCCGCCUGGGGAGUACGACCGCAAGGUUGAAACUCAAAGGAAUUGACGGGGGCCCGCACAAGCGGUGGAGCAUGUGGUUUAAUUCGAAGCUACGCGAAGAACCUUACCAGGUCUUGACAUCUUGCGCCAACCCUAGAGAUAGGGCGUUUCCUUCGGGAACGCAAUGACAGGUGGUGCAUGGUCGUCGUCAGCUCGUGUCGUGAGAUGUUGGGUUAAGUCCCGCAACGAGCGCAACCCUUGUUACUAGUUGCCAGCAUUAAGUUGGGCACUCUAGUGAGACUGCCGGUGACAAACCGGAGGAAGGUGGGGACGACGUCAGAUCAUCAUGCCCCUUAUGACCUGGGCUACACACGUGCUACAAUGGACGGUACAACGAGUCGCGAACUCGCGAGGGCAAGCAAAUCUCUUAAAACCGUUCUCAGUUCGGACUGCAGGCUGCAACUCGCCUGCACGAAGUCGGAAUCGCUAGUAAUCGCGGAUCAGCAUGCCGCGGUGAAUACGUUCCCGGGCCUUGUACACACCGCCCGUCACACCAUGAGAGUUUGUAACACCCAAAGUCGGUGGGGUAACCU